UACGGGGGGGGCAAGCGUUGUUCGGAAUUACUGGGCGUAAAGGGCUCGUAGGCGGCCAACUAAGUCAGACGUGAAAUCCCCCGGCUUAACCUGGGAACUGCGUCUGAUACUGGGAGGCUCGAGUAUGGGAGAGGGAUGUAGAAUUCCAGGUGUAGCGGUGAAAUGCGUAGAUAUCUGGAGGAACACCCGUGGCGAAGGCGGCCAACUGGGAUACACCUGACGCUGAGGCACGAAGGCGUGGGGAGCGAACGGG
RNAcentral lists this ribosomal RNA (253 nucleotides) under uncultured bacterium. Its description in RNAcentral is "partial 16S ribosomal RNA". It matches the Rfam family "Bacterial small subunit ribosomal RNA", at positions 524 to 776 of the family's 1533-position model. The record is from RNAcentral.